Molecule: ribosomal RNA, 549 nt
Filed under: uncultured bacterium
Lineage: Bacteria
Description: bacterial SSU rRNA
Rfam family: Bacterial small subunit ribosomal RNA
Source: RNAcentral
AGGGAAUCUUCGGCAAUGGGGGCAACCCUGACCGAGCAACGCCGCGUGAGUGAAGAAGGUUUUCGGAUCGUAAAGCUCUGUUGUAAGUCAAGAACGAGUGUGAGAGUGGAAAGUUCACACUGUGACGGUAGCUUACCAGAAAGGGACGGCUAACUACGUGCCAGCAGCCGCGGUAAUACGUAGGUCCCGAGCGUUGUCCGGAUUUAUUGGGCGUAAAGCGAGCGCAGGCGGUUUGAUAAGUCUGAAGUUAAAGGCUGUGGCUCAACCAUAGUUCGCUUUGGAAACUGUCAAACUUGAGUGCAGAAGGGGAGAGUGGAAUUCCAUGUGUAGCGGUGAAAUGCGUAGAUAUAUGGAGGAACACCGGUGGCGGAAGCGGCUCUCUGGUCUGUAACUGACGCUGAGGCUCGAAAGCGUGGGGAGCGAACAGGAUUAGAUACCCUGGUAGUCCACGCCGUAAACGAUGAGUGCUAGGUGUUGGGUCCUUUCCGGGAUUCAGUGCCGCAGCUAACGCAUUAAGCACUCCGCCUGGGGAGUACGACCGCAAGGUUG